AGUGGGGGAUAACGGCUCGAAAGGGUCGCUAAUACCGCAUACGUCCUACGGGAGAAAGAGGGGGAUCUUCGGACCUCUUGCUAAUAGAUGAGCCUAGGCCGGAUUAGCUAGUUGGUAGGGUAAAGGCCUACCAAGGCGACGAUCCGUAGCUGGUCUGAGAGGAUGAUCAGCCACACUGGAACUGAGACACGGUCCAGACUCCUACGGGAGGCAGCAGUGGGGAAUAUUGGACAAUGGGGGCAACCCUGAUCCAGCCAUGCCGCGUGUGUGAAGAAGGCCUUCGGGUUGUAAAGCACUUUAAGCGAGGAGGAAGGUCUUUGAACUAAUAUUUCAAAGAAUUGACGUUACUCGCAGAAUAAGCACCGGCUAACUCUGUGCCAGCAGCCGCGGUAAUACAGAGGGUGCAAGCGUUAAUCGGAAUUACUGGGCGUAAAGCGCGCGUAGGCGGUAUGUUAAGUCGGAUGUGAAAUCCCUGGGCUCAACCUAGGCAUUGCAUCCGAUACUGGCACACUAGAGUGUGGGAGAGAAAGGUAGAAUUCCAGGUGUAGCGGUGAAAUGCGUAGAGAUCUGGAGGAAUACCGAUGGCGAAGGCAGCCUUCUGGCCUAACACUGACGCUGAGGUGCGAAAGCAUGGGGAGCAAACAGGAUUAGAUACCCUGGUAGUCCAUGCCGUAAACGAUGUCAACUAGCCGUUGGGCUCCUUGAGGGCUUAGUGGCGCAGCUAACGCGAUAAGUUGACCGCCUGGGGAGUACGGUCGCAAGACUAAAACUCAAAUGAAUUGACGGGGGCCCGCACAAGCGGUGGAGCAUGUGGUUUAAUUCGAUGCAACGCGAAGAACCUUACCUGGCCUUGACAUGUCUGGAAUCCUGCAGAGAUGCGGGAGUGCCUUCGGGAAUCAGAACACAGGUGCUGCAUGGCUGUCGUCAGCUCGUGUCGUGAGAUGUUGGGUUAAGUCCCGCAACGAGCGCAACCCUUUUCUUUACUUGCCAGCACUUCGGGUGGGAACUUUAAAGAUACUGCCGGUGACAAACCGGAGGAAGGCGGGGACGACGACAAGUCAUCAUGGCCCUUACGGCCAGGGCUACACACGUGCUACAAUGGUCGGUACAAAGGGUUGCUAACCCGCGAGGGCAUGCUAAUCUCAAAAAGCCGAUCGUAGUCCAGAUUGGAGUCUGCAACUCGACUCCAUGAAGUCGGAAUCGCUAGCAAUCGCGGAUCAGAAUGCCGCGGUGAAUACGUUCCCGGGCCUUGUACACACCGCCCGUCACACCAUGGGAGUUUGUUGCACCAGAAGUAGUUAGCCUAACCGCAAGGAGGGCGAUUACCACGGUGU
This 1334-nucleotide ribosomal RNA is filed under the name metagenome. RNAcentral describes it as "bacterial SSU rRNA". It matches the Rfam family "Bacterial small subunit ribosomal RNA", at positions 135 to 1465 of the family's 1533-position model. The record is from RNAcentral.